Molecule: ribosomal RNA, 253 nt
Filed under: uncultured bacterium
Lineage: Bacteria
Description: partial 16S ribosomal RNA
Rfam family: Bacterial small subunit ribosomal RNA
Source: RNAcentral
UACGUAGGGUGCGAGCGUUGUCCGGAAUUAUUGGGCGUAAAGAGCUCGUAGGCGGUCUGUCGCGUCUGCUGUGAAAACCCGAGGCUCAACCUCGGGCCUGCAGUGGGUACGGGCAGACUAGAGUGCGGUAGGGGAGAAUGGAAUUCCUGGUGUAGCGGUGAAAUGCGCAGAUAUCAGGAGGAACACCGGUGGCGAAGGCGGGUCUCUGGGCAGUAACUGACGCUGAGGAGCGAAAGCGUGGGGAGCGAACAGG